RNAcentral lists this ribosomal RNA (424 nucleotides) under Staphylococcus aureus. Its description in RNAcentral is "partial 16S ribosomal RNA". It matches the Rfam family "Bacterial small subunit ribosomal RNA", at positions 1 to 421 of the family's 1533-position model. RNAcentral also lists the same sequence under 2 other names. Lineage: Bacteria; Bacillati; Bacillota; Bacilli; Caryophanales; Staphylococcaceae. The record is from RNAcentral.
AAAUUGAAGAGUUUGAUCAUGGCUCAGAUUGAACGCUGGCGGCAGGCCUAACACAUGCAAGUCGAACGGUAACAGGAAGCAGCUUGCUGCUUUGCUGACGAGUGGCGGACGGGUGAGUAAUGUCUGGGAAACUGCCUGAUGGAGGGGGAUAACUACUGGAAACGGUGGCUAAUACCGCAUAACGUCGCAAGACCAAAGAGGGGGACCUUCGGGCCUCUUGCCAUCAGAUGUGCCCAGAUGGGAUUAGCUUGUUGGUGAGGUAACGGCUCACCAAGGCGACGAUCCCUAGCUGGUCUGAGAGGAUGACCAGCCACACUGGAACUGAGACACGGUCCAGACUCCUACGGGAGGCAGCAGUGGGGAAUAUUGCACAAUGGGCGCAAGCCUGAUGCAGCCAUGCCGCGUGUAUGAAGAAGGCCUUCGG